This 25-nucleotide non-coding RNA is filed under the name Xenopus laevis (African clawed frog). Its record names the gene xla-miR-30e-5p. The record is from miRBase by way of RNAcentral. Lineage: Eukaryota; Metazoa; Chordata; Amphibia; Anura; Pipidae. RNAcentral also lists the same sequence under 8 other names.
UGUAAACAUCCUUGACUGGAAGCUG